Oncorhynchus keta (chum salmon) is the source of this 468-nucleotide long non-coding RNA. RefSeq lists it as uncharacterized. The record is from RefSeq and is a predicted model, not a curated record. The transcript has 4 exons. Lineage: Eukaryota; Metazoa; Chordata; Actinopteri; Salmoniformes; Salmonidae.
AAAACAUUUAAAAAAUUGUCAUCAGAGAGCACACAAUGUUUCAAUAUAUCCCUUUUUGCCUAAAGGUCAGUAUCCUGUCUAGCAUGCCAGAAGUUUGAGAAGGCUAAGACUGGCACCGGAGUUGAAGCCCAUCACAUUUGUUUCAACAUGGCACAUGAUCGGGUGGACCUCAUCAGACCCUUCACGAAAUCCAGGAAUGGCAUCAGCUGGUGUCUGACGGUGACCGAUCACUUUACCAAGUGGGUGGAGGCGAUACCCAUUAAGGACGAGACUAGCGAGGCCACCUCCAAGGCGAUGGUGGACUAUCUUCAACACCCACGGUUCUCCUGAGGUCAUGACUUCGGUCUCCUGACUGAGGUCAUGAACGGUGGAAGAAGGUUUGGUGAAUGGACCAACCAGACCAUCAAGACUGCCAUGGGAAAGCCCCUUGAUACCAGGAAGGGUGGGAGAACAACCUGAAGGUAAUUC